UGCAGUCGAACGAACUCUGGUAUUGAUUGGUGCUUGCAUCAUGAUUUACAUUUGAGUGAGUGGCGAACUGGUGAGUAACACGUGGGAAACCUGCCCAGAAGCGGGGGAUAACACCUGGAAACAGAUGCUAAUACCGCAUAACAACUUGGACCGCAUGGUCCGAGCUUGAAAGAUGGCUUCGGCUAUCACUUUUGGAUGGUCCCGCGGCGUAUUAGCUAGAUGGUGGGGUAACGGCUCACCAUGGCAAUGAUACGUAGCCGACCUGAGAGGGUAAUCGGCCACAUUGGGACUGAGACACGGCCCAAACUCCUACGGGAGGCAGCAGUAGGGAAUCUUCCACAAUGGACGAAAGUCUGAUGGAGCAACGCCGCGUGAGUGAAGAAGGGUUUCGGCUCGUAAAACUCUGUUGUUAAAGAAGAACAUAUCUGAGAGUAACUGUUCAGGUAUUGACGGUAUUUAACCAGAAAGCCACGGCUAACUACGUGCCAGCAGCCGCGGUAAUACGUAGGUGGCAAGCGUUGUCCGGAUUUAUUGGGCGUAAAGCGAGCGCAGGCGGUUUUUUAAGUCUGAUGUGAAAGCCUUCGGCUCAACCGAAGAAGUGCAUCGGAAACUGGGAAACUUGAGUGCAGAAGAGGACAGUGGAACUCCAUGUGUAGCGGUGAAAUGCGUAGAUAUAUGGAAGAACACCAGUGGCGAAGGCGGCUGUCUGGUCUGUAACUGACGCUGAGGCUCGAAAGUAUGGGUAGCAAACAGGAUUAGAUACCCUGGUAGUCCAUACCGUAAACGAUGAAUGCUAAGUGUUGGAGGGUUUCCGCCCUUCAGUGCUGCAGCUAACGCAUUAAGCAUUCCGCCUGGGGAGUACGGCCGCAAGGCUGAAACUCAAAGGAAUUGACGGGGGCCCGCACAAGCGGUGGAGCAUGUGGUUUAAUUCGAAGCUACGCGAAGAACCUUACCAGGUCUUGACAUACUAUGCAAAUCUAAGAGAUUAGACGUUCCCUUCGGGGACAUGGAUACAGGUGGUGCAUGGUUGUCGUCAGCUCGUGUCGUGAGAUGUUGGGUUAAGUCCCGCAACGAGCGCAACCCUUAUUAUCAGUUGCCAGCAUUAAGUUGGGCACUCUGGUGAGACUGCCGGUGACAAACCGGAGGAAGGUGGGGAUGACGUCAAAUCAUCAUGCCCCUUAUGACCUGGGCUACACACGUGCUACAAUGGAUGGUACAACGAGUUGCGAACUCGCGAGAGUAAGCUAAUCUCUUAAAGCCAUUCUCAGUUCGGAUUGUAGGCUGCAACUCGCCUACAUGAAGUCGGAAUCGCUAGUAAUCGCGGAU
Molecule: ribosomal RNA, 1326 nt
Filed under: Lactiplantibacillus argentoratensis
Lineage: Bacteria; Bacillati; Bacillota; Bacilli; Lactobacillales; Lactobacillaceae
Description: bacterial SSU rRNA
Rfam family: Bacterial small subunit ribosomal RNA
Source: RNAcentral